This 429-nucleotide ribosomal RNA is filed under the name bacterium. RNAcentral describes it as "partial 16S ribosomal RNA". It matches the Rfam family "Bacterial small subunit ribosomal RNA", at positions 355 to 776 of the family's 1533-position model. The record is from RNAcentral.
UAGGGAAUCUUCCACAAUGGACGCAAGUCUGAUGGAGCAACGCCGCGUGAGUGAAGAAGGUUUUCGGAUCGUAAAGCUCUGUUGUUGGUGAAGAAGGAUAGAGGCAGUAACUGGUCUUUAUUUGACGGUAAUCAACCAGAAAGUCACGGCUAACUACGUGCCAGCAGCCGCGGUAAUACGUAGGUGGCAAGCGUUGUCCGGAUUUAUUGGGCGUAAAGCGAGCGCAGGCGGAAUGAUAAGUCUGAUGUGAAAGCCCACGGCUCAACCGUGGAACUGCAUCGGAAACUGUCAUUCUUGAGUGCAGAAGAGGAGAGUGGAAUUCCAUGUGUAGCGGUGGAAUGCGUAGAUAUAUGGAAGAACACCAGUGGCGAAGGCGGCUCUCUGGUCCGCAACUGACGCUGAGGCUCGAAAGCAUGGGUAGCGAACAGG